Molecule: long non-coding RNA, 293 nt
Organism: Hemicordylus capensis (graceful crag lizard)
Lineage: Eukaryota; Metazoa; Chordata; Lepidosauria; Squamata; Cordylidae
Exons: 3
Source: RefSeq, a predicted model, not a curated record
CUUGAAUGGGCCUUGCCCCACCUCCUUCUCCCUUGCGGCCAAUCAUAUGGUGGCUGUGAUGUAAUAAGGUUUUCCUACUGUUGGCAGUGUGGUGCAUUGUGGGAGAUCUCUCCUGAUACCCAGCAGAAGACCUUCCUAGAAAUAACUGAAGCAGGAACCAUCCAUUUUUAGCCAGAUGGAUGAUACCAAGGUCUACAUGCAACAAUGAUUGAUCCAACAGAGAUGCAACACAGCUGAAUUGGGAGGACGUCUGGACAGCCAAUGGGUGGCUGUUAAUAAAGCUCUGAAUUGCC